GGGCGGUUGACUGUUGCGCUGGGCGGUUGACCGGAGAGCCGGGUGGCUGUUUUUUGGCGUCGGGCGGUUCUGUGGCUUUAGGCAAACUGCCGGGUGGCCAUUUUUGGCGCCGGGCGGUGGUCCGCUGGGCCUGGGCUUGAAUUUUGUCACUUUUCUUGGUUAUAAAUACCCCUAUUGUGAGUUCAAAGUCAUUCUUUUGACAGAGGAGAACGGCCAGACCUAAUAUUGCUCUCUGGAGAGGAUCUCUUGGAUGCUUAGGCUCCUUUUCAUCUUUUCUAGGGUUUGCUUUUCCAUUCUUCUUCCAUUUUCGAUCUAGUUUCACCAUGUCCAUGGUGAACUAAACCCUAUUGUUGUUGGGGGAAACAAUGUAAUCUUUUGAUACUCUCUUUUAUUGAAACUGUUGAUUAUUUAUAUGGUCUCCAUAUGUUUUGUUUGUUAAUUGUUGGGUUAUCAUCUGUGCUUAAGGCCUUUAUCGUUUAACUCAUUCGGUAACUAAUGUUUGUCUUUAUUGAUAUAGUAAUGACAUGAACUGGUGAGUAAUUUCUUGAUUUUGCAAUACCACCUAGGGAUAGGGGUAGGACGAUCAAUUGCGCUAACUUCUGUUUAUAAUGCGGUAUUAAUUACUAGGGGAGGCUAGGGAUAGCAAGCCAGUAGUUAAUAUUAGGCUCUUUUCGCCGAGGGAUCGGGUUAAGGGUAGGCUAAGAAAGUCACAUAAAAAUUAAUUAAUCAAACUAAUAUUCAUGAGGAGUAGAUAAGAGAGGGCAGAUUAGAUGAAAUUGUAAACCCCCAACAACAUCCAUUCAUCCAUUGUUUUCUUUUGUCAAUUGAAUCAACUUUAUUUUGCAUGUUAAUAUUUUUGUUCUCAAAUCUAAUUUAUUAAUUUUUAUUUUCAAGUCUUAUUAUUUUAAUU
Molecule: long non-coding RNA, 910 nt
Filed under: Vigna radiata
Lineage: Eukaryota; Viridiplantae; Streptophyta; Magnoliopsida; Fabales; Fabaceae
Description: long non-coding RNA (VRAD_LNC013639)
Source: RNAcentral